This 241-nucleotide long non-coding RNA is filed under the name Medicago truncatula (barrel medic). RNAcentral's name for it is "long non-coding RNA (MTRU_LNC000355)". The record is from RNAcentral. Lineage: Eukaryota; Viridiplantae; Streptophyta; Magnoliopsida; Fabales; Fabaceae.
CAAAAAAAUUCGCCACCUGAAAUGUUAUAAGGUGAGUUCCAGGUACACUUCAAUCAGUAAACAUAGAAAUUUGAACAAGCAAACAUAAUAGGAAUCAAACUAUAAGCAAUAUCAACAUACUAUUAAACUGAAAUUGAAUUAAAACGUCAUAUUAAUAUAGUUUAUAAGAAGGAGCUUGAAAAUGGAGAUUUUGUUCAACCCUUAGAAUUGACAUUAGAUAAAACAUUUUGUUUGUUUUCUC